AUACGUAGGUGGCAAGCGUUGUCCGGAAUUACUGGGCGUAAAGGAUGCGUAGGCGGAUAUGUAAGUCAGAUGUGAAAUACCCGGGCUCAACUUGGGUGCUGCAUUUGAAACUGCAUGUCUAGAGUGCGGGAGAGGAAAGUGGAAUUCCUAGUGUAGCGGUGAAAUGCGUAGAGAUUAGGAAGAACACCAGUGGCGAAGGCGGCUUACUGGUCCAUUACUGACGCUGAGGUGCGAAAGCGUGGGGAGC
Molecule: ribosomal RNA, 247 nt
Filed under: uncultured bacterium
Lineage: Bacteria
Description: partial 16S ribosomal RNA
Rfam family: Bacterial small subunit ribosomal RNA
Source: RNAcentral